CAGCAGCCGCGGUAAUACAGAGGGUGCAAGCGUUAAUCGGAUUUACUGGGCGUAAAGGGCGCGUAGGUGGUUAUUUAAGUGAGAUGUGAAAGCCCCGGGCUUAACCUGGGAACUGCAUCUUAUACUGGGUAACUGGAGUGCAGUAGAGGGUAGUGGAAUUUCCGGUGUAGCGGUGAAAUGCGUAGAUAUCGGAAGGAACACCAGUGGCGAAGGCGGCUACCUGGACUGAGACUGACACUGAGGCGCGAGAGCGUGGGGAGCAAACAGGAUUAGAUACCCGGGUAGUCCCUGUCUCUUAUAC
Molecule: ribosomal RNA, 301 nt
Filed under: uncultured bacterium
Lineage: Bacteria
Description: partial 16S ribosomal RNA
Rfam family: Bacterial small subunit ribosomal RNA
Source: RNAcentral